This 1397-nucleotide ribosomal RNA is filed under the name uncultured bacterium. RNAcentral describes it as "bacterial SSU rRNA". It matches the Rfam family "Bacterial small subunit ribosomal RNA". The record is from RNAcentral.
AGAGUUUGAUCCUGGCUCAGGAUGAACGCUAGCUACAGGCUUAACACAUGCAAGUCGAGGGGCAGCAUCAUCAAAGCUUGCUUUGAUGGAUGGCGACCGGCGCACGGGUGAGUAACACGUAUCCAACCUGCCGACAACACUGGGAUAGCCUUUCGAAAGAAAGAUUAAUACCGGAUGGCAUAAUUAUUCCGCAUGGGAUAAUUAUUAAAGAAUUUCGGUUGUCGAUGGGGAUGCGUUCCAUUAGGCAGUUGGCGGGGUAACGGCCCACCAAACCUACGAUGGAUAGGGGUUCUGAGAGGAAGGUCCCCCACAUUGGAACUGAGACACGGUCCAAACUCCUACGGGAGGCAGCAGUGAGGAAUAUUGGUCAAUGGACGAGAGUCUGAACCAGCCAAGUAGCGUGAAGGAUGACUGCCCUAUGGGUUGUAAACUUCUUUUAUACGGGAAUAAAGUGAGCCACGCGUGGCUUUUUGUAUGUACCGUAUGAAUAAGGAUCGGCUAACUCCGUGCCAGCAGCCGCGGUAAUACGGAGGAUCCGAGCGUUAUCCGGAUUUAUUGGGUUUAAAGGGAGCGUAGGCGGGUUGUUAAGUCAGUUGUGAAAGUUUGCGGCUCAACCGUAAAAUUGCAGUUGAUACUGGCGACCUUGAGUGCAACAGAGGUAGGCGGAAUUCGUGGUGUAGCGGUGAAAUGCUUAGAUAUCACGAAGAACUCCGAUUGCGAAGGCAGCUUACUGGAUUGUAACUGACGCUGAUGCUCGAAAGUGUGGGUAUCAAACAGGAUUAGAUACCCUGGUAGUCCACACAGUAAACGAUGAAUACUCGCUGUUGGCGAUAUACGGUCAGCGGCCAAGCGAAAGCAUUAAGUAUUCCACCUGGGGAGUACGCCGGCAACGGUGAAACUCAAAGGAAUUGACGGGGGCCCGCACAAGCGGAGGAACAUGUGGUUUAAUUCGAUGAUACGCGAGGAACCUUACCCGGGCUUAAAUUGCAACUGACUGAACCGGAGACGGUUCUUUCUUCGGACAGUUGUGAAGGUGCUGCAUGGUUGUCGUCAGCUCGUGCCGUGAGGUGUCGGCUUAAGUGCCAUAACGAGCGCAACCCUUACGGGUAGUUACCAUCAGGUUAUGCUGGGGACUCUACCCGGACUGCCGUCGUAAGAUGUGAGGAAGGUGGGGAUGACGUCAAAUCAGCACGGCCCUUACGUCCGGGGCUACACACGUGUUACAAUGGGGGGUACAGAAGGCAGCUACACGGCGACGAGGUGCUAAUCCCGAAAGCCUCUCUCAGUUCGGAUUGGAGUCCGCAACCCGACUCCAUGAAGCUGGAUUCGCUAGUAAUCGCGCAUCAGCCACGGCGCGGUGAAUACGUUCCCGGGCCAUGCACACACCGCCCGUCAAG